AUGGUUAAGUUAGAAAGGGCGCACGGUGAAUGCCUUGGCACUAGGAGCCGAUGAAGGACGGGACUAACACCGAUAUGCUUCGGGGAGCUGUAAGUGAGCUUUGAUCCGGAGAUUUCCGAAUGGGGAAACCCACUGUUCGUAAUGGAACAGUAUCUUUAUCUGAAUACAUAGGAUAUUGAAGGCAGACCCGGGGAACUGAAACAUCUAAGUACCCGGAGGAAGAGAAAGCAAAUGCGAUUUCCUGAGUAGCGGCGAGCGAAACGGAAUUAGCCCAAACCAAGAGGCUUGCCUCUUGGGGUUGUAGGACACUCUAUACGGAGUUACAAAGGAACGAAGUAAAUGAAGCGACCUGGAAAGGUCCGUCGAAGAAGGUAACAACCCUGUAGUUGAAACUUCGUUCCCUCUUGAGUGGAUCCUGAGUACGGCGGAACACGUGAAAUUCCGUCGGAAGCUGGGAGGACCAUCUCCCAAGGCUAAAUACUACCUAGUGACCGAUAGUGAACCAGUACCGUGAGGGAAAGGUGAAAAGCACCCCGGAAGGGGAGUGAAAGAGAUCCUGAAACCGUGUGCCUACAAGUAGUCAGAGCCCGUUAACGGGUGAUGGCGUGCCUUUUGUAGAAUGAACCGGCGAGUUACGAUCCCAUGCAAGGUUAAGCUGAUAAGGCGGAGCCGUAGCGAAAGCGAGUCUGAAUAGGGCGUUUAGUAUGUGGUUGUAGACCCGAAACCAGGUGAUCUACCCAUGUCCAGGGUGAAGUUCAGGUAACACUGAAUGGAGGCCCGAACCCACGCACGUUGAAAAGUGCGGGGAUGAGGUGUGGGUAGCGGAGAAAUUCCAAUCGAACCUGGAGAUAGCUGGUUCUCUCCGAAAUAGCUUUAGGGCUAGCCUCAUGUUGUGAGAGUCUUGGAGGUAGAGCACUGAUUGGACUAGGGGCCCCCAACGGGUUACCGAAUUCAGUCAAACUCCGAAUGCCAAAGACUUAUCCAUGGGAGUCAGACUGCGAGUGAUAAGAUCCGUAGUCAAAAGGGAAACAGCCCAGACCACCAGCUAAGGUCCCCAAGUAUACGUUAAGUGGAAAAGGAUGUGGAGUUGCUUAGACAACCAGGAUGUUGGCUUAGAAGCAGCCACCAUUUAAAGAGUGCGUAAUAGCUCACUGGUCGAGUGACUCUGCGCCGAAAAUGUACCGGGGCUAAACGUAUCACCGAAGCUGUGGAUUGACAUCUUUGAUGUCAGUGGUAGGAGAGCGUUCUAAGUGCUGUGAAGUCAGACCGUAAGGACUGGUGGAGCGCUUAGAAGUGAGAAUGCCGGUAUGAGUAGCGAAAGACAAGUGAGAAUCUUGUCCACCGAAUGCCUAAGGUUUCCUGAGGAAGGCUCGUCCGCUCAGGGUUAGUCGGGACCUAAGCCGAGGCUGAAAAGCGUAGGCGAUGGCCAACAGGUUGAUAUUCCUGUACCACCUCCCCGCCGUUUGAGUAAUGGGGGGACGCAGUAGGAUAGGGUAAGCGCGCUGCUGGAUAUGCGCGUUCAAGCAGUUAGGCUGAUGAGUAGGCAAAUCCGCUCAUCAUAAAGGCUGAGCUGUGAUGACGAGGGAAUUAUAGUACCGAAGUUCCUGAUUCCACACUGCCAAGAAAAGCCUCUAGCGAGGCGGGAGGUGCCCGUACCGCAAACCGACACAGGUAGGCGAGGAGAGAAUCCUAAGGUGAUCGAGAGAACUCUCGUUAAGGAACUCGGCAAAAUGACCCCGUAACUUCGGGAGAAGGGGUGCUCUGGUAGGGUGUAUAGCCCGAGAGAGCCGCAGUGAAUAGGCCCAGGCGACUGUUUAGCAAAAACACAGGUCUCUGCGAAGCCGCAAGGCGAAGUAUAGGGGCUGACGCCUGCCCGGUGCUGGAAGGUUAAGAGGAGGGGUUAUCCUUUGGGAGAAGCUCUGAAUCGAAGCCCCAGUAAACGGCGGCCGUAACUAUAACGGUCCUAAGGUAGCGAAAUUCCUUGUCGGGUAAGUUCCGACCCGCACGAAAGGCGUAACGAUCUGGGCACUGUCUCAACGAGAGACUCGGUGAAAUUAUAGUACCUGUGAAGAUGCAGGUUACCCGCGACAGGACGGAAAGACCCCGUGGAGCUUUACUGUAGCCUGAUAUUGAAUUUUGGUACAGCUUGUACAGGAUAGGUAGGAGCCUGAGAAGCCGGAGCGCUAGCUUCGGUGGAGGCGUCGGUGGGAUACUACCCUGGCUGUAUUGAAAUUCUAACCCGCGGCCCUGAUCGGGCCGGGAGACAGUGUCAGGUGGGCAGUUUGACUGGGGCGGUCGCCUCCUAAAAUGUAACGGAGGCGCCCAAAGGUUCCCUCAGAAUGGUUGGAAAUCAUUCGUAGAGUGUAAAGGCACAAGGGAGCUUGACUGCGAGACCUACAAGUCGAGCAGGGACGAAAGUCGGGCUUAGUGAUCCGGUGGUUCCGCAUGGAAGGGCCAUCGCUCAACGGAUAAAAGCUACCCCGGGGAUAACAGGCUUAUCUCCCCCAAGAGUCCACAUCGACGGGGAGGUUUGGCACCUCGAUGUCGGCUCAUCGCAUCCUGGGGCUGUAGUCGGUCCCAAGGGUUGGGCUGUUCGCCCAUUAAAGCGGUACGCGAGCUGGGUUCAGAACGUCGUGAGACAGUUCGGUCCCUAUCCGUCGUGGGCGUAGGAAAUUUGAGAGGAGCUGUCCUUAGUACGAGAGGACCGGGAUGGACACACCGCUGGUGUACCAGUUGUCUUGCCAAAGGCAUCGCUGGGUAGCUAUGUGUGGACGGGAUAAGUGCUGAAAGCAUCUAAGCAUGAAGCCCCCCUCAAGAUGAGAUUUCCCAUAGCGCAAGCUAGUAAGAUCCCUGAAAGAUGAUCAGGUUGAUAGGUCAGAGGUGGAAGCGUGGCGACAUGUGUAGCUGACUGAUACUAAUCGAUCGAGGACUUAACCAAAUUUUA
RNAcentral lists this ribosomal RNA (2944 nucleotides) under Priestia megaterium. Its description in RNAcentral is "Bacillus megaterium 23S ribosomal RNA". It matches the Rfam family "Bacterial large subunit ribosomal RNA". Lineage: Bacteria; Bacillati; Bacillota; Bacilli; Caryophanales; Bacillaceae. The record is from RNAcentral.